This 93-nucleotide transfer RNA is filed under the name Nitzschia sp. NIES-3576. Its description in RNAcentral is "tRNA-Leu". It matches the Rfam family "tRNA". Rfam says of the family: Transfer RNA (tRNA) molecules are approximately 80 nucleotides in length. Their secondary structure includes four short double-helical elements and three loops (D, anti-codon, and T loops). Further hydrogen bonds mediate the characteristic L-shaped molecular structure. tRNAs have two regions of fundamental functional importance: the anti-codon, which is responsible for specific mRNA codon recognition, and the 3' end, to which the tRNAs corresponding amino acid is attached (by aminoacyl-tRNA synthetases). tRNAs cope with the degeneracy of the genetic code in two manners: having more than one tRNA (with a specific anti-codon) for a particular amino acid; and 'wobble' base-pairing, i.e. permitting non-standard base-pairing at the 3rd anti-codon position. Lineage: Eukaryota; Bacillariophyta; Bacillariophyceae; Bacillariales; Bacillariaceae. The record is from RNAcentral.
GGGAGUAUGAUGAAAUUGGAAAACAUUUCGGUUUUAAAAAUCGAUGCUUUGUUGGUUUAUCCCGGCUUGUGGGUUCAAAUCCCACUGCUCCCA